This 402-nucleotide ribosomal RNA is filed under the name uncultured bacterium. Its description in RNAcentral is "bacterial SSU rRNA". It matches the Rfam family "Bacterial small subunit ribosomal RNA", at positions 355 to 749 of the family's 1533-position model. The record is from RNAcentral.
UAGGGAAUCUUCCGCAAUGGACGAAAGUCUGACGGAGCAACGCCGCGUGAGUGAAGAAGGUUUUCGGAUCGUAAAACUCUGUUGUCAGAGAAGAACACGUUGGAGAGUAACUGCUCCAGCCUUGACGGUAUCUGACCAGAAAGCCACGGCUAACUACGUGCCAGCAGCCGCGGUAAUACGUAGGUGGCAAGCGUUGUCCGGAUUUAUUGGGCGUAAAGCGAGCGCAGGCGGUUCCUUAAGUCUGAUGUGAAAGCCCACGGCUCAACCGUGGAAGGUCAUUGGAAACUGGGGAACUUGAGUGCAGAAGAGGAGAGUGGAAUUCCAUGUGUAGCGGUGAAAUGCGUAGAUAUAUGGAGGAACACCAGUGGCGAAGGCGACUCUCUGGUCUGUAACUGACGCUGA